GUUAAGUAGGUUUCAUGUUUAUAUUUUUAAUCAGAAACUUUCUGACUUUGACUCAGUUCAUGCAUUUUUCAUGGACUUUCUGAUUCUAAUGUUUUUACUGUAAAAGUGCCUUCGGAUGGUUGUUGUUUCCUGGUGCUUCAUGAAUAAUCUUGAAGUGAAACUGAAUAAUGUGAGCUGGACUCAAACAUACCUCACUGAGCACAUGUGUAAACUGGAUCUAAGCGAGAUGGAAACCUGCUUACUGAAUCACUUUGACUCUGAAACUGUAACGAGAUAUAACUGUCAUUAUAUAACAAGUUUAUACAGCUGUAGUCUCUUGAUGCUACGAACAGAAAACAAAAAAUAAAUAACUUGGUCAUAAAAAGGUGUCGGUGUAACUGGCUCAACCAGGACUUUGCACGAGGGCUCAGACAGCUGUGUUCAUGGUCGUACCUCAGUAUUUACAGAGUCAGUGACCAAUCUAGGACUGGUUCUAUGUUCCCACCAGGAAAAGAAAACGACUCACGUUUUCCAUCAGACAUCUUUGUGAAACCCACAGAAGCACACGAGAAGAUCAAGUGAGACCAAAGUUUAUUGAACCUGCAGAGAAACCAGAUCACUGCUGUGGAGACGACAGCACACUUAGAAAUAACAUAAAUAACAGCAAAGCUACUGAAGACAUGAAAACAUGGAUUACAUCUACAUUUUAGUUACAUACCAUUUAUUAUUGUUUAUGUGUAAAUUAUGUCUCGGUCAUGCUUUUAUUCUGAAAGGCCUGGUGAAGAAUUGUUCCCUCAAGUAUGAAAAGUAAAUAAAAUCUUUAUGGUAACAUUCUUCUUCUGCUUCUUUAUAAAAGAAAACAAUAACUUUCCAUUUGAACUUUCAGUGAUUUGAACUCAGAGGUUGUGUGAGGUUUCCUUCAUGAGGAGAACAAACAGAAUAUAAACCAGUGUGUUUACAGUGAAUGUGUCAGGUCUGAGCUGCCGUGUGGACCAGUUAGAGAGCAGCAGCUGGAUCCCAGUGGUUGGACUGGUGGACGACUUCAGUGAGGAGUCGAUGACAUUUGGCUCUGGUAGAAACUCUGCACACACAAACACACAGGAGGAAAAAAAAUUAAAAGAAGAUAUCCAAAAGAUUUUCAAAUUAAAGGUUUCACAUACAUGUGCACAAUAGCUGUUUGAAAUACAUAUUUGGUGGCCUGAAACAGGCAGAGUCCAUAAUUACAGAGAAUCCAACGAUGACUUUCAUACCAGCUUUGAUGGAAGCUACGACUCCUGUCCCCCAUUAAUGUGACUGGAAAUGUCCUCAAACUGGGCAGCACUGGUGGAUCAUCUUUGUACGUCUGAUAAGAGAUGAAUGCAGAGUAAACAUGAGGCUGUAACUGAGGACAAUAACUGAUCAGUGUUAACUUAUUACUUUAUUCUGUCAUUAUUGUUCAUUACUGUCAGUUACAAUGACUGUAUGAAUUGUAAUGACACGACACUCGCAGUCACACAGGUCUGUUCAACAUCACAAACCGCUGGUUGUCCCUCUUCCUCUCCCUCACAGCUCGUCUUCCUCACUCUCAGGACUGUCCCUCUCUGUACUGCAACAGUGUCAGAAACCCACAUUUGAUUUUGUUGUUUAUUUAUCAUAUUUAAUUUUUCAUCUAAUGUCUUUUUGAUUAAUGUGUGAAUUAGGGUAAUUGAGGUCUAUCAAUGUCAAAAAUCUCACUGUAUGAUUUCAGUCAGUGUUUAAAUAAAUCCAACAGGAAAUGAGAUGUUUAUGUUAAAACAGUGGCAGUGUUUUCAAAUGAUGGCACAGUGAUUGUGCUUAGAAAUACUUUUUUUUUUUUUUUUUACAGGAAUAUUAUGUGAAAUACAUUUUUGAGAGAUCAAAAUGUUGUCAUUCAGGAGAAAAUCUUCCCUUUUAACAGGAUCCAUGAAAACAACCUGCUCUAGAUGAAACACCAGCACGAACAUUAACACACAAAUUCAGCAGGAAUCCCCUGAAUGUAUCUUCAUAUUUCACAAUACUCGCAGAAAGGGAGGAGUCUAUGACUGUAUCAUCACUCGUCAUUAGUUCUGGGCAAGCGCUCCAAGCCGGUCUGGAACUUUUCACUUCAACUUUUGUACCACUCCGAUCUGAUCAGGACCCAAAAACUGCACGUAAUGGAUGUAACAUCAGUCUGCAGGAAUCUACUGGUUGUCCUUUUUUCUUGAUCGUGACUGCAGAUGCAGAUGCGGUACCUUUUAAAGACAGUCUGGCGCGUUGGCAAUGAGCGAUACAGCAGCUGGAUCGAUCACGUGACUUUGUCUUAAAGCGACGCACGCUUCGAGACAGGCUUCGCUCUGUGAGCUUGAUACAUGCGUCGGUGCGUCAGUGUUGCAGGACCCAUCACUAGUCGUGUGACCACAAAUUUUAAUAGAAGGAUUGAUCGACGGCGCGCAGGGAAACUAAUCAAUAUUACCAGAAAAACAUUAUAGCUCAGUCUGGACAGAACGUCACUCUGACAUGUCGAGCUCCAAACAACAUCAUAGUUGUAAAAUGGAUCAGAGCUGAUCUGAAGUCAGGUUAUGUCCCUUUUUUUCCCCCAGGAUGAUCUGUUUGUUCCAGCCAACCAGCAUCAGACAGACUGUGAACGCUUACAGGCAAACAUCACACUCAUGAUCAGUGAUUCAUUUUUCUCUGAACUAUAAAUUAAAUACAUUUUACUUCAUGUAGUUGUUUGUUCUGAGUCACUUUAUAAGACCCUUUCUGACCUGUACAGUCUGUUGAUGGUGUUUGUCUCCUGCACUGUAAGUAAAGUUUCUUGACAUGAAUGUUGUUUCCUGUUGCUUCAUGAGUAAAACAGAACUGAAACAUAAUGUGAGCUGGAAUCAAUCCAUAGUUGGUUUGUGGUCAUUUUUCUUGCUUUUCACCACAAAAAAUGACCACACCGACCAGCCAAUCGGUGACAUCAGUUUACUACCUGCUCAGAUCGCUUGGAAACCCGGCCUAGCAGGUACUAAAAAAAUACCUGGUACCAGGUACUGAUGACCAUUCACACUCACAUUCACACCUCUGGGCGAUUGAGAAUCACCAGUGAACUUAACCCCACUGACUGCAUGUCUGUGGACUGUGGGAG
Long non-coding RNA from Astatotilapia calliptera (eastern happy), 3085 nucleotides. Lineage: Eukaryota; Metazoa; Chordata; Actinopteri; Cichliformes; Cichlidae. The record is from Ensembl.